UACAGAGGGGGCAAGCGUUGUUCGGAAUUACUGGGCGUAAAGGGCGCGUAGGCGGCCUGCUAAGUCGAACGUGAAAUCCCCGGGCUCAACCCGGGAACUGCGUCCGAUACUGGCAGGCUUGAAUUCGGGAGAGGGAUGCGGAAUUCCAGGUGUAGCGGUGAAAUGCGUAGAUAUCGGAAGGAACACCAGUGGCGAAAGCGGCUUCCUGGUCCAGCACCGACGUUCAGGCACGAAAGCGUGGGGAGCAAACAGG
Molecule: ribosomal RNA, 253 nt
Filed under: uncultured bacterium
Lineage: Bacteria
Description: partial 16S ribosomal RNA
Rfam family: Bacterial small subunit ribosomal RNA
Source: RNAcentral